Sapajus apella (tufted capuchin) is the source of this 131-nucleotide long non-coding RNA. RefSeq lists it as uncharacterized. The record is from RefSeq and is a predicted model, not a curated record. The transcript has 3 exons. Lineage: Eukaryota; Metazoa; Chordata; Mammalia; Primates; Cebidae.
CUUAGGAGAAGGCAGCAGGCUAUUCAAACAAUUUCUAUCCCCACUUCCAACCCUCAGCUGCAACACUAGUUGCCCUUUGGGCAACACUAGUAAAAAAUCUGAAAAACAGUCUCACUAGCUAAGGCAUGAGA